Molecule: ribosomal RNA, 253 nt
Filed under: uncultured bacterium
Lineage: Bacteria
Description: partial 16S ribosomal RNA
Rfam family: Bacterial small subunit ribosomal RNA
Source: RNAcentral
UACGAAGGGUGCAAACGUUGCUCGGAAUCAUUGGGCGUAAAGCGCACGUAGGCGGCUUCGCAAGUCGGAUGUGAAAUCCCGUGGCUCAACCAUGGACGUGCAUUCGAAACUGCGAAGCUUGAGUAUGGAAGAGGGUCGCGGAAUUCCCGGUGUAGAGGUGAAAUUCGUAGAUAUCGGGAGGAACACCAGUGGCGAAGGCGACUACCUGGCCUGUUCUUGACGCUGAGGCGCGAAAGCUAGGGGAGCAAACGGG